UAAACGAAGCAGCUGAAUCCUGCACCAUAGAUGGUGAAAGUCCAGUAGUUGA
Molecule: ribosomal RNA, 52 nt
Filed under: Chlamydomonas moewusii
Lineage: Eukaryota; Viridiplantae; Chlorophyta; Chlorophyceae; Chlamydomonadales; Chlamydomonadaceae
Description: large subunit rRNA beta
Source: RNAcentral